Molecule: ribosomal RNA, 492 nt
Filed under: uncultured bacterium
Lineage: Bacteria
Description: partial 16S ribosomal RNA
Rfam family: Bacterial small subunit ribosomal RNA
Source: RNAcentral
AGUGAACGCUGGCGGUAGGCCUAACACAUGCGAGUCGAACGGCAGCACAGUAAGAGCUUGCUCUUACGGGUGGCGAGUGGCGGACGGGUGAGGAAUACAUCGGAAUCUACUUUUUCGUGGGGGAUAACGUAGGGAAACUUACGCUAAUACCGCAUACGACCUACGGGUGAAAGCAGGGGAUCUUCGGACCUUACGCGAUUGAAUGAGCCGAUGUCGGAUUAGCUAGUUGGCGGGGUAAAGGCCCACCAAGGCGACGAUCCGUAGCUGGUCUGAGAGGAUGAUCAGCCACACUGGAACUGAGACACGGUCCAGACUCCUACGGGAGGCAGCAGUGGGGAAUAUUGGACAAUGGGCGCAAGCCUGAUCCAGCCAUACCGCGUGGGUGAAGAAGGCCUUCGGGUUGUAAAGCCCUUUUGCUGGGAAAGAAAAGCAGCAGGUUAAUACCCCGCUGUUCUGACGGUACCCAAAGAAUAAGCACCGGCUAACUUCGUG